Molecule: non-coding RNA, 3062 nt
Organism: Pelodiscus sinensis (Chinese soft-shelled turtle)
Lineage: Eukaryota; Metazoa; Chordata; Testudines; Trionychidae
Source: RefSeq, a predicted model, not a curated record
GUUGCUUUGCAGAACGGAUUCAAUGAAUGUAUCAUGUGCACACAUUAGAUCCGGCGUCGGAGUAGCAGAGGGUGACGACAAGGGGGAGCGAGUGUCUGGGAAACGCCUUUCAUGCCACGCCAGGGUGGAGGCGGAUUUGCAAACACUGAUUUUCUCUUCUCUUAAGGAAGGUUUCAAAGGGAAAAGGAGUCUGCGCAAGGACUGAAGAGGUUUACACAGAGGCCCUGAAGGGGGUCGCUCCACCAUGCAGGAGGAAUGCAGCAUCUCAUAGGAUCUGGUGCAAAACCCACGAGUGCUGGUGCCUGCAGAACUCAAGUGGGUCUCCCUUCCUACAGAGAGCAUGGAUCUGUAUCUACACAGCCUCUGCUGUAACCCAAGGUGCUCCUGGUUACAUAUUGUCUCCCACGGCCAUCUGCGACUUCCAUUUAACAUCUCAUGGCAGGAGGAGGGGCCUCUUUCUUGUGUUGUGCCUGGUCAGUGAUGUGGGGAGAAAAAUGCCCCUUGCCCACCCCACAAGCUUGUCCUAGGAGCCAGCAGUGCCUUUCAUUGCUAGUUAGCAAAGAGCUGAGACCGUUCCAAGGACUGGUGGGUCCUACUGCUGGAUGGAUCCUUGCUUGCCAGCCGCACAUCCUCCAGUCGUGAGUUGUGGGGGUUUACUGGCUGCUGUCGGGGUGGAUGUACAAGGCUGGUGGCGAGGCAAAGCUGCAGCGUGCCGGGCUGGCAGCUCCCCAGACACUACAUGGCUGUUGGAGCUGGGGUUGUGGAGUGUAGUGAGGCAGCGUGGCCUCCAUCCGAGCCAGAGCGGGAGGAACCUCUCUCUCUACCCAGCUGGGCUGACCCUCCAACAGGAAGUUGGGGGCAGGACAGGAAGGAUAAAAGGCAGAGCCUCUAGCUUAGUGGGGGCUGAGCCAGGGAAUAAGACAGAUGUGUCCUGCUUGCUGCUACAUUCUGACCCUGCUGCUGAGCCAGGCAGUGCCCUGGACCUGGAAAAGACCAGAACCAGGGAGGAGCUGGAGCUGAUGGGACUGCUGGUGGCUGAAUACCCAAACAAACCUAAGGAGCUGAUGUGUUUUCAACCAGCUCUCUUGCCUCAAGGCUGGAUGGUGCCACAGGCCCUAAUUCUGAUUCUGGUUCUGAUUGAAAGUGGAACAGAAGCUGUUUAGAUUAAUCCCUGGGACGGAUUUAUUUCCUGGGGUGCGAUCCCUCGUUCUGCCACCUGUAUGAAGAUUGCAGCUGGACAAAUACAACAAAAAAAUUCAAUUACUAUUCACUCGCAACUUUAAAUGAGUCCACACUGGCCGUGUUCUUUCUCCCUGCCCCUUUGCGCCUUCCCACAAACAUUCAGGCAAGCCAGUCAAAAGCUCGUGAAUGCCAAAGUUGCACCUGUAUAUUUCUGUGGCAUGUGCUUGCAUGCUUUCCGAUCAGGGAGUUGAAAGGUAAUCACACCUGUCUUACUUUGACCAACCCUAAUUUACCAAGACAGUUUGAAUAGCAAAGUUAUGAAUCAUGUUUGUGAUUUAUAGAACACUGCCACAGUCACCAAACCCUUUGGAUGAAGGAAAAUAAAAUGAGAGGAAAUUGUCCCUGAAUGUCCCUCAAAGGGGAAAAGAGGCAAAUUCGGUGGGUAAACUUUAUAUUUUGGAUUAGUCACUUGGUUCUUCUAUGAAUGAAGAAGGGGUUAAGGAAUGACUGCCUACAUUGUUUCUCUAAUAUCCUCUGGCAUCACUGCCAGCACUGCAUCCCACAGGACAGAGGAGCCGAUUUAUGGAAGGCGGCACUUAUCGACUACUAGAAGAUGGUAAUUCACAAUGAGGCUCUUCAACGUUGUAGCCGAUGCAUGUGAGGUGGGAAACGGGACUGCUGUUGUCAUUUCUCCCAAUUCCGUUCCUGCCUGCUUUAUCCUCACUGGUUCCAGGAAAGCCCCUUAUUAAUCGAAGGUUAAGUAAAUGUCACAUCCCUCUCUCCUCUCCUGGAUGAGCUCAAGCGUUGUUUCAUGAGCUGCUUAGUCUGACAUUAAUACAGUUCUGGAAUUUAAACAUCUGGGACCUUUGGAAUGGCAGGGCUGUGAAUGAGGAGACCCAAAGGUGUCAACUGCAAAGGAUGGAGCAAAGCCGUGUUUGAAUGGGUGGAAAAUCCACAGCUGGAGAACAGUUUGGAGCUGACCUGCCAUCGUCCUGAUACUAUUCCAGUUGUAGCCUCAGUUUGGGGACACGCCCCCUUUGCUUAGCCUUUGCCUAAGGCGGUAGUUUGGAGGAUCAAUAUGCACAUCUGUUCCGGUGCCCAGCCCCCCAAAUUUCCCGGCUGAGAUAGAUGCAACUCAGUGUGGGGCAGAGGGAGCUCAGCAAGGUCAGAGGGGCAAAGAACAGCUCUGGAGCAUGGAUCAAAGGGCACUGAGGGAAUAAAUAGAUGCUUCCUCCGUGCUCCAUCCCUCUUUAGGACCUGACAGGAUGGAAACAGGUUCUGCUGAAGGAUACUAGCAGAUCUUGAGUGCGGCUCUAAUGCAGGGGCGAGUAAAAUACGGCCUGUGGGCUGGAUCUGGCCCGCCUUACGUUCAAAUCCACCCUACCCCAAUACUCUGGGCUGCCAAUGUCCUGCAGCCCAGCGGGACCCUCGGGCCUGCCACGGCUCCACAUGCUGCUCAAAGUGACCAGCUGUUGGUGGAGAGUAAAGAUUUCCCACCUACAGACCUACUUUCCCCUGCAAGAGGGCUGGGUUGUCCCACCAGGGAGUACAUGAAGUGCUCUCUGAGAGCUCUGCCACUGGCGGUCCUGCGUCUUUUUUGCCUGUGUUUGAAAGGGUCUCUCCAGAACCAUUAGCCUCUUCUUGCUCCAAUCCAGUCUGAACGUUGUUCACUUCAUCACAGGCCUCUGUACCUCUUUCCAGGUGCUCUGUCUCAUUGUGGCACACCUCGCCUGGUUUCUUGUCCCACUUCUGCAUGCCUGUCCUCCCUGGGGCUACGUCUAGACUUCACGCCUCUUUCGAAAAAGAGCAUUGAGACUACAACCUGUACUUUCGAAAAAGCAAGCCGCUUUUUUGAAAGAGAGCACCCAGGCAGUCUGGAU